CAGGUAGGAGUCUUGGCAACUGCAGGAUAAUCUUUCACCUUUUACUAAAGAUUUCCAUGGAGAGGAAUGAUUCUGUGUCUUUACUCAAUUUUUUGAGGCCUCGUUUCAGCAAGGCU
Ochotona curzoniae (black-lipped pika) is the source of this 116-nucleotide small nuclear RNA. RefSeq annotates it as U5 spliceosomal RNA. The transcript has a single exon. The record is from RefSeq and is a predicted model, not a curated record. Lineage: Eukaryota; Metazoa; Chordata; Mammalia; Lagomorpha; Ochotonidae.